ACGAACGCUGGCGGCGUGCUUCACACAUGCAAGUCGAACGGUAAGGCCCCUUCGGGGGUACACGAGUGGCGAACGGGUGAGUAACACGUGAGCAACCUGCCCUUGACUCUGGAAUAACAGUUGGAAACAGCUGCUAAUACUGGAUAUUCAUCGUCUCCUUCCUGGGGGGUGGUGGAAAGCUCCGGCGGUCAGGGAUGGGCUCGCGGCCUAUCAGCUUGUUGGUGAGGUAAUGGCUCACCAAGGCUUCGACGGGUAGCCGGCCUGAGAGGGCGACCGGCCACACUGGGACUGAGAUACGGCCCAGACUCCUACGGGAGGCAGCAGUGGGGAAUAUUGCACAAUGGGCGCAAGCCUGAUGCAGCAACGCCGCGUGCGGGAUGACGGCCUUCGGGUUGUAAACCGCUUUCAGUAGGGACGAAGGGUGACUGACGGUACCUACAGAAGAAGGACCGGCUAACUACGUG
RNAcentral lists this ribosomal RNA (464 nucleotides) under uncultured bacterium. RNAcentral describes it as "partial 16S ribosomal RNA". It matches the Rfam family "Bacterial small subunit ribosomal RNA", at positions 29 to 507 of the family's 1533-position model. The record is from RNAcentral.